GACGAACGCUGGCGGCGUGCUUAACACAUGCAAGUCGAACGGGCCUUGUCCCCUUUUUUUUGGGGGUGGGGUUAGUGGCGAACGGGUGAGUAACACGUGAGUAACCUGCCCCUCACUUCUGGAUAACCGCUUGAAAGGGUGGCUAAUACGGGGUGUUCUGGCCUGCUCGCAUGGGUGGGUUUGGAAAGAUUCGACCGGUUUUGGUUGUUUUGGUGGGGGAUGGGCUCGCGGCCUAUCAGCUGGUUGGUGGGGUGAUGGCCUGCCAAGGCUUUGACGGGUAGCCGGCCUGAGAGGGUGGGCGGUCACACUGGGACUGAGACACGGCCCAGACUCCUACGGGAGGCAGCAGUGGGGAAUAUUGCACGAUGGGCGCAAGCCUGAUGCAGCGACGCCGCGUGAGGGAUGGAGGCCUUCGGGUUGUGAACCUCUUUCGCCAGUGAAGAAGGUCCUGCUCUUUGUGGUGGGGUUGACGGUAGCUGGGUUAAUGAAGCGCCGGCUAACUACGUG
RNAcentral lists this ribosomal RNA (507 nucleotides) under uncultured bacterium. Its description in RNAcentral is "partial 16S ribosomal RNA". It matches the Rfam family "Bacterial small subunit ribosomal RNA", at positions 28 to 507 of the family's 1533-position model. The record is from RNAcentral.